Molecule: microRNA precursor, 103 nt
Filed under: Marmota monax (woodchuck)
Lineage: Eukaryota; Metazoa; Chordata; Mammalia; Rodentia; Sciuridae
Source: RNAcentral
AGUGGGAUAGCUGAGUCAAAUGGUGGUUCCAUUUAGAGUUUUCUGAGGAAUCUCCAUAUUGCUUUCCAUAGUAUUUUUACCAAUUUGCUGUCCCACCAGCAAU